GUAGUCCACGCUGUAAACGAUGGGCACUAGGUGUCCGGGGUAUUGACCCCCUGGGUGCCGCAGCUAACGCAUUAAGUGCCCCGCCUGGGGAGUACGGUCGCAAGAUUAAAACUCAAAGGAAUUGACGGGGACCCGCACAAGCGGUGGAGCAUGUGGUUCAAUUCGACGCAACGCGAAGAACCUUACCUGGGCUCGAACGGCUUUGGAUCGGUUGUGGAAACACGGCCUUCCCGCAAGGGACCGGAGUCGAGGUGCUGCAUGGCUGUCGUCAGCUCGUGUCGUGAGAUGUUGGGUUAUGUCCCGCAACGAGCGCAACCCUUGUCCUGUGUUGCCAGCGGAGCGAUUAUAUCAAGCCGGGCACUCUCAGGAGACCGCCAGCGAUAAGCUGGAGGAAGGUGGGGAUGACGUCAAGUCAUCAUGGCCUUUAUGUCCAGGGCUACACACGUGCUACAAUGGACGGUACAAAGCGCUGCAAACCCGCGAGGGGGAGCCAAUCGCAAAAAACCGUUCUUAGUUCGGAUUGCAGGCUGCAACUCGCCUGCAUGAAGCUGGAAUCGCUAGUAAUGGGGUAUCAGAACGAUCCCGUGAAUA
This 591-nucleotide ribosomal RNA is filed under the name uncultured Acidobacterium sp. RNAcentral describes it as "bacterial SSU rRNA". It matches the Rfam family "Bacterial small subunit ribosomal RNA", at positions 790 to 1368 of the family's 1533-position model. Lineage: Bacteria; Pseudomonadati; Acidobacteriota; Terriglobia; Terriglobales; Acidobacteriaceae. The record is from RNAcentral.